GCCAGGAGCAAAACAAGCCCUGCCUCUUAUCAUCCUUAGCUCUGAGGGAGACCUGGAGCUGCAGUGGUCUUGUGGAUCUGUCCCAAACCCAGGCAAAGGAGCUGGAAGGUUGCACCCUGCGCCAAUGGCUCCCUGGAUUGGGGGGCCCCUUGCUCCAAGGCGGCGGAACCACUGAGCUAAAUCCCCGGCCCAUGAAGAGCUUAAUGUUGAGGGACAGGAAGAAGAUUCCUGAGUGACCACUGAGAGUGACAGAAGAAAGUCCAUUCCUCCGUCACCUUGCAGGUGCCACACCCAUGCAUCUGCCUCCAGAGGACAAAGCACCAUACAAAGGUCACGAGUUUGGAUGGCACGGCCUUGUUCCAGAACUCCAGGGAUCUAACUUGUUACUCUCCUCUUCGGGCUUGCCACAAACUGACACUGUCUGUUCCCACCACAGAGCCGUCUGUCAUCCGAGUUGGCUGGGUCACAUGACCCCAGCCGCCAGACUGUUUGUCCCACAGCCUGGGGCGGCUGCCGGUUCCUCCUCUGCCUUGGGCCCCUCUCAAAGAUGCCAGCCUUCCAUGUCACUUGGCAAAACAUCUUGCCGUCGUAUUUGUCAAGUGUGGAAUAUAUUGCUUGAAAAACCCAA
Molecule: long non-coding RNA, 628 nt
Filed under: Heterocephalus glaber (naked mole-rat)
Lineage: Eukaryota; Metazoa; Chordata; Mammalia; Rodentia; Bathyergidae
Description: lncRNA (ENSHGLG00100049709.1)
Source: RNAcentral